Molecule: ribosomal RNA, 252 nt
Filed under: uncultured bacterium
Lineage: Bacteria
Description: partial 16S ribosomal RNA
Rfam family: Bacterial small subunit ribosomal RNA
Source: RNAcentral
UACAGAGGGUGCAAGCGUUAAUCGGAAUUACUGGGCGUAAAGCGUGCGUAGACGGUUGCGUAAGUCAGAUGUGAAAGCCCCGGGCUCAACCUGGGAAUUGCAUUUGAGACUGCGUAGCUAGGGUGCGGAAGAGGGAAGCGGAAUUUCCGGUGUAGCGGUGAAUGCGUAGAUAUCGGAAGGAACACCAGUGGCGAAAGCGGCUUCCUGGUCCAGCACCGACGUUCAGGCACGAAAGCGUGGGGAGCAAACAGG